AGAGUUUGAUCCUGGCUCAGGACGAACGCUGGCGGCGUGCUUUAGGUAUGCAAGUCGAGCGCUCCUCCGAUUCGGAGGGGAGCGGCAGACGGGUGAGUAACGCGUAGGAACGUACCCUUUGGUGAGGAAUAGCCCCGAGAAAUCGGGGGUAAUACCGCAUAACAUCCCCUCCGAUUCGGAGUGGAUAAAAGCGAGUAACUUCGCGCCGAAGGAGUGGCCUGCGUCCUAUCAGCUUGUAGGUAGGGUAAUGGCCUACCUAGGCGACGACGGGUAGCUGGUCUGAGAGGACGGCCAGCCACAAGGGCACUGAAACACGGGCCCUACGCCUACGGGUGGCAGCAACCGGGAAUCUUGCGCAAUGGGCGAAAGCCUGACGCAGCGACGCCGCGUGGAGGAUGAAGGCCUUCGGGUUGUAAACUUCUGUGUCCCGAUGUAGUGUCGGGGUAGAAAGCACCAGCAAACUACGUGCCAGCAGCGGCGGUAAUUCGUAGGGUGCGAGCGUUGUCCGGAUUUAUUGGGCGUAAAGGGUUUCGUAGGCGGUCUUCUAAGUUACCUGUUAAAGCCUCUUGCUCAACAGGAGAAAGGCAGGUAAUACUGGAGGACUAGAAGCGGUUCGGGGGUGCUGGAACUGGCGGUGGAGGGGUGAAAUCCAUUGAGAUCGCCAAGAACACCGAGGGCGAAGGCAGGCACCUAGGACUGUUUUGACGCUGAGGAACGAAAGCUAGGGGAGCGAACCGGAUUAGAGACCCGGGUAGUCCUAGCUGUAAACGAUGAACGCUAGCUGGCCGAUCCCUCCGAUUCGGAGGGGAUGGCUGGCGUAAGUUAACACGUUAAGCGUUCCGCCUGGGUAGUACAGCCGCAAGGCUGAACUCAAAGAAUUGGCGGGGACCUGCACAACCAGCGGAGCAUGUGGUUUAAUUCGAUACGAAGCGUAGAACCUUACCUGGGCUUGACAUUCAGUCCUCAAUGCUUUUUCCGAAAGGAGAAAGAAUCCUCCGAUUCGGAGGAGGGGCUGGACAGCUGCUGCAUGGUUGUCGUCAGCUCUAGUCGUGAGAUGUUCCCUUAAGUGGGGUAUAGAGCGCAACCCCCAUCCUAUGUUAUCUAUCAUAGGAGACUGCCCCCGGUAAACCCAGGGGAGGAAGGUGGGGAUGACGUCAAAUCAGCAUGGCGCUUAUGUCCAGGGCGACACACAUCCUACAAUGGUCGGUAUAAUGGGUUGCCAAGCCGUAAGGCGGAGCUAAUCCCAUCAAAGCCGGUCUCAGUUCGGAUUGUGGGCUGAAACCCGCCCACAUGAAGCCGGAGUUGGUAGUAAUCGCGGGUCAGCAGACCGCGGUGAAUACGUUCUCAGGUCUUGCACACACUGCCCGUCAAGUCAGCAAAGUCGAGAGGACCCGAAACCCUGAACCGUCUGGUGCAGGACUAAGGUCAGUUCGGCGACGAGGACUAAGUCGUAACAAGGUAACC
Molecule: ribosomal RNA, 1464 nt
Filed under: uncultured bacterium
Lineage: Bacteria
Description: bacterial SSU rRNA
Rfam family: Bacterial small subunit ribosomal RNA
Source: RNAcentral